This 164-nucleotide ribosomal RNA is filed under the name Hura crepitans. RNAcentral's name for it is "5.8S ribosomal RNA". It matches the Rfam family "5.8S ribosomal RNA". From Rfam's summary of the family: 5.8S ribosomal RNA (5.8S rRNA) is a component of the large subunit of the eukaryotic ribosome. It is transcribed by RNA polymerase I as part of the 45S precursor that also contains 18S and 28S rRNA. Lineage: Eukaryota; Viridiplantae; Streptophyta; Magnoliopsida; Malpighiales; Euphorbiaceae. The record is from RNAcentral.
AAAACGACUCUCGGCAACGGAUAUCUCGGCUCUCGCAUCGAUGAAGAACGCAGCGAAAUGCGAUACUUGGUGUGAAUUGCAGGAUCCCGCGAACCAUCGAGUCUUUGAACGCAAGUUGCGCCCGAAGCCUUCCGGCCGAGGGCACGCCUGCCUGGGUGUCACGC